GAUGAACGCUGGCGGCGUGCCUAAUACAUGCAAGUCGAGCGAACGGACGAGAAGCUUGCUUCUCUGAUGUUAGCGGCGGACGGGUGAGUAACACGUGGAUAACCUACCUAUAAGACUGGGAUAACUUCGGGAAACCGGAGCUAAUACCGGAUAAUAUUUUGAACCGCAUGGUUCAAAAGUGAAAGACGGUCUUGCUGUCGCUUAUAGAUGGAUCCGCGCUGCAUUAGCUAGUUGGUAAGGUAACGGCUUACCAAGGCAACGAUGCAUAGCCGACCUGAGAGGGGGAUCGGCCACACUGGAACUGAGACACGGUCCAGACUCCUACGGGAGGCAGCAGUAGGGAAGCUUCCGCAAUGGGCGAAAGCCUGACGGAGCAACGCCGCGUGAGUGAUGAAGGUCUUCGGAUCGUAAAACUCUGUUAUUAGGGAAGAACAUAUGUGUAAGUAACUGUGCACAUCUUGACGGUACCUAAUCAGAAAGCCACGGCUAACUACGUG
Molecule: ribosomal RNA, 497 nt
Filed under: uncultured bacterium
Lineage: Bacteria
Description: partial 16S ribosomal RNA
Rfam family: Bacterial small subunit ribosomal RNA
Source: RNAcentral